This 1151-nucleotide long non-coding RNA is filed under the name Marmota monax (woodchuck). The record is from RNAcentral. Lineage: Eukaryota; Metazoa; Chordata; Mammalia; Rodentia; Sciuridae.
GUCCGAAGCCUGACCCUGGUGUCCGGCUAACACCAAGGAGCUGGCAGGGCUGGGUGCUUGUCAAGCAGCAAUAAGGGAAUUUAUAUCUGUGCUUUCUCAGCUUCGAGAGCUGCCUUGUGACUCCCUCCUUCCAUUUUCAAAGCCAGCAACGUGCCACCUUUCUGUGCCUUUCUUCUGUAGUCACUUCUCUCUCUGCAGCCAAGACCUGCCCUCUGAUUUUAAGAAGCUGUGAGUUACACUGGGUCCCACUUGAUGAUCCAGGAUGCCCAUCUAAAGGACCUUAAUGUCCCUAGACAGGAAAAUCCUUGGGAAAUGUAAGAUUAGCUGUGCAUAGGUUGGGAUGUGAACAGUUUUGGGGGAACGUACCCCAGUCCUUAUUUUCUCCUGAUGAAGCUGCACUUGAAAGUCUGAACACUUUUACACAAUCCUCUGAGCAGGACUUGGUAACCUGACAUCAUAAAAUGGGCGCACAGAGUGGAUUCCUUAUUAUCUAUGGGAUUCCAAGGAAUUCAGGAGAUGAAGCAGAGCACUCAGGGACUGGCCUGUCAUGGAUAGGGUCCCAGGGAAGCCGACACUGGGGCAGGGGUUUGUCUGAGGGACAUUUGCCAGGGUGUGCUCUUGGGUGUUCAUGUGCAGAGAGAGGGUAGCCAGGCUGGGCAGAUGUAGUCACAGCAGUCUUCUGCCAUCCUCUGGCAAGGAACUGGCCUUUGAAUGCCUGCAUGACUGCUCGUCACUUAUGGUAGCUCCAGAAGCGGGGCAAGACCUUGGUGGAGGUGACUGUCUUCAGUUGCAGUCAGUUUCCUGAGAGGCGCUCAGUGGAAAGCUGGCAGAGGCCAAACUUCCCAGAAACUCCUGGAAUGACUACUUCCCCCCUGAAAGCACAGGCAGUGGGGGUGCAGGGGAUUAUCUGGCUAACCACAGUGACCACGACAGUUAACCACGUUGGAUGUUGUGCAUGGGUCAGUUGCCCAGUGGGACUCUGCAGGCUCUGGGGAGACAAACUGAAGUAUAGGCGAGGGAGACUCCCGCCUGCAGCAGCGGGUGGACCCCGAUGGCCCCAGGCAGGCAGAGCCUGGGCAGAGGAGGCAGAAGUGAAAGUGACUGGAUCCGGUGGAAUGUGGAGGCAGGGCAGUGUCUCAGCAGGAUCCCAG